CGACUCGCCCGGUCGGGUGGUUCCGCGGCAGACCGGCUGCGGCCCGGUCGCGGCCCGGUGGGGGCUCACUAGGCUGGCUCGGGUUCGGCCGGGUCGA
This 97-nucleotide transfer RNA is filed under the name Cellulomonas pakistanensis. Its description in RNAcentral is "tRNA-Arg". The record is from RNAcentral. Lineage: Bacteria; Bacillati; Actinomycetota; Actinomycetes; Micrococcales; Cellulomonadaceae.